This is a non-coding RNA of Microcebus murinus (gray mouse lemur), 363 nucleotides long. NCBI's taxonomy places the organism in Eukaryota, Metazoa, Chordata, Mammalia, Primates, Cheirogaleidae. The record is from RefSeq and is a predicted model, not a curated record.
CAGGAAUCUUGAACACUGAGGGGACAGUGCGGGGACAUGAGUGACUCCCAGGAGCUGGGUCUCCUGGAGGAGGAAGAGCUGAGAACCGGCUUCAUCAGAUUUUUUGCAAGAGACUUAGGAUUCUGACGGAUUUGUGGCCCGAAGAGCUCAGCAGGGUGUCUGGGCCGCAGCCCCUGGGUGCUGCUGCUCCUCUACUUCAUGGUCCUCACUGGACUCCUGGUGACCAUCUUUGUCCAAGUCUCCAAGCUCCCCAACUCCCUGGGGCAGCAGCGAUCCAGGCAGGAGAAGAUCUACCAGGAGCUGACCCAGCUGCAGGCUGCAGUCGGUGAGUUUCCAGAGAGAUCCAGGCAGGAGAAGAUCUAC